Molecule: non-coding RNA, 148 nt
Filed under: Homo sapiens (human)
Lineage: Eukaryota; Metazoa; Chordata; Mammalia; Primates; Hominidae
Source: Rfam by way of RNAcentral
GCCAGGCAUGGUGGCGCAUGCCUGUAGUCCCAGCUACUUGGGAGGCUGAGACAGAAGAAUUGCUUGAACUCAAGAGGCAGAGGUUGCAGUGAGCUGAGAUCAGGCCACUGCACUCCAGCCUGGGCAACAGAGCAAGACUCCGUCUCAA